ACCAAACGGAGCACAUUAUAACCGAGGAUUCUUCCUGAGUAAAAGUACAUAAUUUUUUUUUAAGUCAUACCUUUGUGCUUGUACUGCUACUAUACAUGUGUAUGUAGUAAUAAACAAGUUUUUUUUAUAAAGUUAUAUUUUCGGGUGUUUCGUGUGACUCCGGAUACAUAUUUCGUUCCGAUAAUCAGCGUAGAAGUAAAACUUAUAUUACCGAAAUUUAAAAUAAAAUUGGCAGGGAUUGUACUAAAAAGGAAUUACAGCACUACGAUACCGGAUCACUUUAUAGCGAGGAGGCCUCUACGCUUCGUGGGACUGCAGUAUCGACACACAAUGUAAGUGCUUUGGUCAUAAUUUUCUUCCACCCUACUGUUUGCUUUAUAUAUUCUUAUUUUCU
Long non-coding RNA from Rhagoletis zephyria (snowberry fruit fly), 394 nucleotides. RefSeq lists it as uncharacterized. The record is from RefSeq and is a predicted model, not a curated record. Lineage: Eukaryota; Metazoa; Arthropoda; Insecta; Diptera; Tephritidae.